This is a long non-coding RNA of Microcebus murinus (gray mouse lemur), 896 nucleotides long. RefSeq lists it as uncharacterized. The record is from RefSeq and is a predicted model, not a curated record. NCBI's taxonomy places the organism in Eukaryota, Metazoa, Chordata, Mammalia, Primates, Cheirogaleidae.
GCAACAGAGUGAGACUCUGUCCAAAAAAAAAAAAGAACUUCAGCAUCUGCAGAUUUUGGUAUCCCUGGGGGACACCCAUGAAUAAUACCAAGGGACGACUACAUUUUUUUAUGAACUGUUUGAGAUUUUUGUCCAUUUUUAAUAACAAUGUUUGUCUUUUUAUUAUUGAGUUCUAAAAGUUCUGGAAACAAGUCCUUUGUCACAUAUGUGUUUUGUGAGUAUUUUCUCCCAGUUUGUAGCUUGAAAUUUUUUAAUUUUGGUGAAAUCUAAUCUACCAAUAUUUUUUUCUUUUAUGGUAACUGCUUUGUCCUAUAAGAAAUCUUUGCUUAUCCCCAGGUCACAAAGAUAUUCUGUUCCUUUUAAAAGCUUUAUAGUUUUUUUUUUACAUUUUGAUCAAUGAACCAGGCUCAAAUUAUGAUGUGAGGCAGUUCAUUUUUUUCCUCUACAGAUAUCCAGGUGUUCCAGUACUAUGUGUUGAAAAGGCUUUCCCUUCUCCAAUGGAUUGCUUUGCUGCCUUUGUCAAAAAUCAAUUAACUCUGUAAAUUACGAUGCUCCACAUGACUAUGGAGUCAAGAGGACCACAUAUUUGUACGUGUCUAGCUCCAGGUAUAUUGAUGGAAACCAUUUCUACACCUGGACAGCUAGCAAUACUUACCUCUACACAGAAGCGACUGCAACACACAUAAUUAUGUUCCACUAAGCCCAAACCAAAUGUAUGCCUGGCUCAACUUCCCCUUAGUUGGAUCCCCAAAUGCUUUUGGCCACUCCAAUGUCAUGCCGGUAGGUCUUACCCUCUUUGUCAGACCUGUGUUUCCCAGUAUCUUCCUGACCAUGACACAUCCUUACCAAGCUCUGAUAAUUCAGGUUUUUGUUUGUUUGUUUGUUUUUCUUUUUUG